Molecule: ribosomal RNA, 485 nt
Filed under: uncultured bacterium
Lineage: Bacteria
Description: bacterial SSU rRNA
Rfam family: Bacterial small subunit ribosomal RNA
Source: RNAcentral
CAUGCCGCGUGAGUGAUGAAGGCCUUAGGGUUGUAAAGCUCUUUCGACGGGGACGAUAAUGACGGUACCCGUAGAAGAAGCCCCGGCUAACUUCGUGCCAGCAGCCGCGGUAAUACGUAGGCAGCAAGCGUUGUUCGGAGUUACUGGGCGUAAAGGGUGCGUAGGCGGCUUUUUAAGUUUGGCGUGAAAUCUCCCGGCUCAACUGGGAGGGUGCGCCGAAUACUGAGAGGCUAGAGUGUGGGAGAGGAAAGUGGAAUUCCUGGUGUAGCGGUGAAAUGCGUAGAUAUCAGGAGGAACACCGGUGGUGUAAACGGCUUUCUGGACCAUAACUGACGCUGAGGCACGAAAGCGUGGGUAGCAAACAGGAUUAGAUACCCUGGUAGUCCACGCCCUAAACGAUGCAUAUUUGGUGUGGGCCAUUCAUUUGGUCUGUGCCGGAGCUAACGCGUUAAAUAUGCCGCCUGGGGAGUACAGUCGCAAGGCUG